UUUUAAUUGGAGGCUUGUAUGAAAGGUCGGACAAAGGAUAAGCUGUCUUUAUUUUUAUUUUUGAAUUUGUCUUUUAAGUGAAAAGACUUAAAUAAAUUUAAGGGACGAUAAGACCCUAUAAAUCUUUAUAUUAAGUUAUUUUUAUAUUAAUUUAUAAUGUAGAUGAAAAUAGAAAUAUAUAAUAUUAUAUUGGGGUGAUAAGAAUAAAAAAUAAACUGUUCUAAUUUAAAAACAAAGUUGUUUGAAAAUAAUAGAUCCUUUUUAAAGAGAAAAAGUUUAAGUUACUUUAGGGAUAACAGCGUUAUUUUUUUUGAGAGUUCAAAUCGAAAAAAAAGUUUGCGACCUCGAUGUUGAAUUAAAAUUUUCUUUAUGGUGUAGCAGUUAUAAGAGAGAGUCUGUUCGACUUUUAAAAUUUUACGUGAUCU
Molecule: ribosomal RNA, 425 nt
Filed under: Galathea tanegashimae
Lineage: Eukaryota; Metazoa; Arthropoda; Malacostraca; Decapoda; Galatheidae
Description: partial 16S ribosomal RNA
Rfam family: Bacterial large subunit ribosomal RNA (bases 292-425)
Source: RNAcentral